GACGAACGCUGGCGGCGUGCUUAACACAUGCAAGUCGAGCGGUAAGGCUCCUUCGGGAGUACACGAGCGGCGAACGGGUGAGUAACACGUGAGCAAUCUGCCCUUCACUUUGGGAUAAGCACCGGAAACGGUGUCUAAUACCGAAUACGACCACUUCCGGCAUCGGAUGGUGGUGGAAAAGUUCCGGCGGUGAAGGAUGAGCUCGCGGCCUAUCAGCUUGUUGGUGGGGUAACGGCCCACCAAGGCUUCGACGGGUAGCCGGCCUGAGAGGGUGACCGGCCACACUGGGACUGAGACACGGCCCAGACUCCUACGGGAGGCAGCAGUGGGGAAUAUUGGACAAUGGGCGAAAGCCUGAUCCAGCAACGCCGCGUGAGGGAUGACGGCCUCGGUU
RNAcentral lists this ribosomal RNA (394 nucleotides) under uncultured bacterium. Its description in RNAcentral is "bacterial SSU rRNA". It matches the Rfam family "Bacterial small subunit ribosomal RNA", at positions 28 to 424 of the family's 1533-position model. The record is from RNAcentral.